GAUGAAGAACGUAGCGAAACGCGAUAAGUAAUGUGAAUUGCAGAAUUCAGUGAAUCAUCGAAUCUUUGAACGCACAUUGCGCCCGUUAGCAUUCUAGCGGGCAUGCCUGUCCGAGCGUCAUUUCAACCCUCAGGGUCCCCGUUCCGGCGGGGAACCUGGUGUUGGGGAUCGGCCCGCCCCGCGCGGCGCCGUCCCCCAAAUUCAGUGGCGGUCUCGCUGCAGCCUCCCCUGCGUAGUAGUUACAACCUCGCAUCGGAGCUCAGCGCGGCCACGCCGUAAAACCCCCGACUUUCUGAACGUUGACCUCGGAUCAGGUAGGAAUACCCGCUGAACUUAAGCAUAUCAAUAAGCGGAGGA
Molecule: unclassified non-coding RNA, 357 nt
Filed under: soil metagenome
Description: partial contains 5.8S ribosomal RNA, internal transcribed spacer 2, and large subunit ribosomal RNA
Rfam family: 5.8S ribosomal RNA (bases 1-120)
Source: RNAcentral